RNAcentral lists this ribosomal RNA (110 nucleotides) under Ralstonia pickettii. RNAcentral's name for it is "16S ribosomal RNA". It matches the Rfam family "Bacterial small subunit ribosomal RNA", at positions 1425 to 1533 of the family's 1533-position model. The record is from RNAcentral. Lineage: Bacteria; Pseudomonadati; Pseudomonadota; Betaproteobacteria; Burkholderiales; Burkholderiaceae.
UGUAGUUAGCCUAACCGCAAGGAGGGCGAUUACCACGGUAGGGUUCAUGACUGGGGUGAAGUCGUAACAAGGUAGCCGUAUCGGAAGGUGCGGCUGGAUCACCUCCUUUA